CUGGUGACUCCCGCCUGAAUAUAUAGGGCGGGUAGAGGGAACGGGGGGAAGUGAAACAUCUCAGUACCCCCAGGAAGAGAAAACAACAGUGAUUCCGUCAGUAGUGGCGAGCGAAAUCGGAAGAGGCUAAACCGGGCAUGUGUGAUAGCUAUCAGGCGUUGCAUGUCCGGGGUUGUGGGACUUCUCACUCCGAACUGAUAUUCGGGGAGCAUUAGAACGUGGUAUAGACGAAUGGGAUUGAAAGCCCAGCCAAAGACGGUGCCAGCCCGGUAGUCGAAAUGCUGCAAUCGUGCGAGGAGUAUCCCAAGUAGCACGGGGCCCGAGAAAUCCCGUGUGAAUCUGUCAGGACCACCUGAUAAGCCUAAAUACUCCCAGAUGACCGAUAGCGGACAAGUACCGUGAGGGAAAGGUGAAAAGUACCCCGGGAGGGGAGUGAAAUAGUACCUGAAACCGUUUGCUUACAAACCGUUGGAGCACCCUUGUAGGUGUGACAGCGUGCCUUUUGAAGAAUGAGCCUGCGAGUUAGCGAUAUGUGGCGAGGUUAACCCGUGUGGGGUAGCCGUAGCGAAAGCGAGUCUGAAUAGGGCGAUUCAGUCGCAUGUCCUAGACCCGAAGCGAAGUGAUCUAUCCAUGGCCAGGUUGAAGCGACGGUAAGACGUCGUGGAGGACCGAACCCACUUCAGUUGAAAAUGGAGGGGAUGAGCUGUGGAUAGGGGUGAAAGGCCAAUCAAACUUCGUGAUAGCUGGUUCUCUCCGAAAUGCAUUUAGGUGCAGCGUUGCGUGUUUCUUGCCGGAGGUAGAGCUACUGGAUGGCCGAUGGGGCCCAAAAGCUUACUGACGUCAGCCAAACUCCGAAUGCCGGUAAGUGAGAGCGCAGCAGUGAGACGGUGGGGGAUAAGCUUCAUCGUCGAGAGGGAAACAACCCAGACCACCAACUAAGGUCCCAAAGCGCGUGCUAAGUGGGAAAGGAUGUG
RNAcentral lists this ribosomal RNA (974 nucleotides) under Plantibacter sp. VKM Ac-2880. Its description in RNAcentral is "partial 23S ribosomal RNA". It matches the Rfam family "Bacterial large subunit ribosomal RNA", at positions 144 to 1077 of the family's 2925-position model. Lineage: Bacteria; Bacillati; Actinomycetota; Actinomycetes; Micrococcales; Microbacteriaceae. The record is from RNAcentral.